GGCUAAGGUCGUAACGAUGGAAACCCAGCUUGCUCGGGAGGAUUAGUGGCGAACGGGUGAGUAACACGUGAGUAACCUGCCCUUAACUCUGGGAUAAGCCUGGGAAACUGGGUCUAAUACCGGAUAGGAGCGUCCACCGCAUGGUGGGUGUUGGAAAGAUUUAUCGGUUUUGGAUGGACUCGCGGCCUAUCAGCUUGUUGGUGAGGUAAUGGCUCACCAAGGCGACGACGGGUAGCCGGCCUGAGAGGGUGACCGGCCACACUGGGACUGAGACACGGCCCAGACUCCUACGGGAGGCAGCAGUGGGGAAUAUUGCACAAUGGGCGCAAGCCUGAUGCAGCGACGCCGCGUGAGGGAUGACGGCCUUCGGGUUGUAAACCUCUUUCAGUAGGGAAGAAGCGAAAGUGACGGUACCUGCAGAAGAAGCACCGGCUAACUACGUGCCAGCAGCCGCGGUAAUACGUAGGGUGCGAGCGUUAUCCGGAAUUAUUGGGCGUAAAGAGCUCGUAGGCGGUUUGUCGCGUCUGUCGUGAAAGUCCGGGGCUUAACCCCGGAUCUGCGGUGGGUACGGGCAGACUAGAGUGCAGUAGGGGAGACUGGAAUUCCUGGUGUAGCGGUGGAAUGCGCAGAUAUCAGGAGGAACACCGAUGGCGAAGGCAGGUCUCUGGGCUGUAACUGACGCUGAGGAGCGAAAGCAUGGGGAGCGAACAGGAUUAGAUACCCUGGUAGUCCAUGCCGUAAACGUUGGGCACUAGGUGUGGGGACCAUUCCACGGUUUCCGCGCCGCAGCUAACGCAUUAAGUGCCCCGCCUGGGGAGUACGGCCGCAAGGCUAAAACUCAAAGGAUUUGACGGGGGCCCGCACAAUCUGCCGGAGCAUGCGGAUUAUUCGAUGCAACGCGAAGAACCUUACUAAGCUUGACAUGUUCUCGAUCGCCGUAAAGAUACGUUCCCUUUAGGUGAGGUUCACAGUGGUGCAUGGUGUCG
The sequence is a ribosomal RNA, 986 nucleotides long. It matches the Rfam family "Bacterial small subunit ribosomal RNA", at positions 56 to 1054 of the family's 1533-position model.